Molecule: ribosomal RNA, 442 nt
Filed under: uncultured bacterium
Lineage: Bacteria
Description: partial 16S ribosomal RNA
Rfam family: Bacterial small subunit ribosomal RNA
Source: RNAcentral
CCUACGGGAGGCAGCAGUAGGGAAUCUUUCACAAUGGGCGAAAGCCUGAUGCAGCAACGCCGCGUGCAGGAUGAAGGCCCUCGGGUUGUAAACUGCUUUUAUAAGCGAGAAAUAUGAUGGUAACUUAUGAAUAAGGAUCGGCUAACUACGUGCCAGCAGCCGCGGUCAUACGUAGGAUCCGAGCAUUAUCCGGAGUGACUGGGUGUAAAGAGUUGCGUAGGUUGCAUAAUAAGUAGCUAGUGAAAUCUGGUGGCUCAACCAUUCAGACUAUUGGCUAAACUGUUAAGCUCGAGACCGUUAGGGGUAACUGGAAUUUCUGGUGUAGGAGUGAAAUCCGUAGAUAUUAGAAGGAACACCAAUAGCGUAGGCAGGUUGCUGGGACGGUACUGACGCUAAGGCACGAAAGCGUAGGGAGCAAACGGGAUUAGAUACCCGUGUAGUC